UCCUACGGGAGGCAGCAGUGGGGAAUAUUGCACAAUGGGCGCAAGCCUGAUGCAGCGACGCCGCGUGAGGGAUGACGGCCUUCGGGUUGUAAACCUCUUUCAGUAGGGAACAAGGCUGCACGUUGUGUGGUUGAGGGUACUUGCAGAAGAGGCGCCGGCUAACUACGUGCCAGCAGCCGCGGUAAUACGUAGGGCGCAAGCGUUAUCCGGAAUUAUUGGGCGUAAAGAGCUCGUAGGCGGUUUGUCGCGUCUGCCGUGAAAGUCCAGGGCUCAACCCCGGAUCUGCGGUGGGUACGGGCAGACUAGAGUGAUGUAGGGGAGACUGGAAUUCCUGGUGUAGCGGUGAAAUGCGCAGAUAUCAGGAGGAACACCGAUGGCGAAGGCAGGUCUCUGGGCAUUAACUGACGCUGAGGAGCGAAAGCAUGGGGAGCGAACAGGGUUAGAUACCCUGGUAGUCCAUGCCGUAAACGUUGGGCACUAGGUGUGGGGGACAUUCCACGUUUUCCGCGCCGUAGCUAACGCAUUAAGUGCCCCGCCUGGGGAGUACGGCCGCAAGGUUAAAACUCAAAUGAAUUGACGGA
RNAcentral lists this ribosomal RNA (581 nucleotides) under uncultured bacterium. RNAcentral's name for it is "bacterial SSU rRNA". It matches the Rfam family "Bacterial small subunit ribosomal RNA", at positions 337 to 917 of the family's 1533-position model. The record is from RNAcentral.